Molecule: ribosomal RNA, 253 nt
Filed under: uncultured bacterium
Lineage: Bacteria
Description: partial 16S ribosomal RNA
Rfam family: Bacterial small subunit ribosomal RNA
Source: RNAcentral
UACGUAGGGAGCAAGCGUUGUCCGGAAUCAUUGGGCGUAAAGCGCGCGUAGGCGGUCUCAUAAGUCCGUUGUGAAAGUCAAAGGCUCAACCUUUGAAAGCCGAUGGAUACUGUGAGGCUAGAGUUCGGAAGAGGCGAGUGGAAUUCCUGGUGUAGCGGUGGAAUGCGCAGAUAUCAGGAGGAACACCAAUAGCGAAGGCAGCUCGCUGGGACGAUACUGACGCUAAGGCGCGAAAGCGUGGGGAGCGAACAGG